GAAGGUGUGCUGUGAGGCAUGCUGGAGGUAUCAGAAGUGCGAAUGCUGACAUAAGUAACGAUAAAGCGGGUGAAAAGCCCGCUCGCCGGAAGACCAAGGGUUCCUGUCCAACGUUAAUCGGGGCAGGGUGAGUCGACCCCUAAGGCGAGGCCGAAAGGCGUAGUCGAUGGGAAACAGGUUAAUAUUCCUGUACUUGGUGUUACUGCGAAGGGGGGACGGAGAAGGCUAUGUUGGCCGGGCGACGGUUGUCCCGGUUUAAGCGUGUAGGCUGGUUUUCCAGGCAAAUCCGGAAAAUCAAGGCUGAGGCGUGAUGACGAGGCACUACGGUGCUGAAGCAACAAAUGCCCUGCUUCCAGGAAAAGCCUCUAAGCAUCAGGUAACAUCAAAUCGUACCCCAAACCGACACAGGUGGUCAGGUAGAGAAUACCAAGGCGCUUGAGAGAACUCGGGUGAAGGAACUAGGCAAAAUGGUGCCGUAACUUCGGGAGAAGGCACGCUGAUAUGUAGGUGAGGUCCCUCGCGGAUGGAGCUGAAAUCAGUCGAAGAUACCAGCUGGCUGCAACUGUUUAUUAAAAACACAGCACUGUGCAAACACGAAAGUGGACGUAUACGGUGUGACGCCUGCCCGGUGCCGGAAGGUUAAUUGAUGGGGUUAGCGCAAGCGAAGCUCUUGAUCGAAGCCCCGGUAAACGGCGGCCGUAACUAUAACGGUCCUAAGGUAGCGAAAUUCCUUGUCGGGUAAGUUCCGACCUGCACGAAUGGCGUAAUGAUGGCCAGGCUGUCUCCACCCGAGACUCAGUGAAAUUGAACUCGCUGUGAAGAUGCAGUGUACCCGCGGCAAGACGGAAAGACCCCGUGAACCUUUACUAUAGCUUGACACUGAACAUUGAGCCUUGAUGUGUAGGAUAGGUGGGAGGCUUAGAAGUGUGGACGCCAGUCUGCAUGGAGCCGACCUUGAAAUACCACCCUUUAAUGUUUGAUGUUCUAACGUUGACCCGUAAUCCGGGUUGCGGACAGUGUCUGGUGGGUAGUUUGACUGGGGCGGUCUCCUCCUAAAGAGUAACGGAGGAGCACGAAGGUUGGCUAAUCCUGGUCGGACAUCAGGAGGUUAGUGCAAUGGCAUAAGCCAGCUUGACUGCGAGCGUGACGGCGCGAGCAGGUGCGAAAGCAGGUCAUAGUGAUCCGGUGGUUCUGAAUGGAAGGGCCAUCGCUCAACGGAUAAAAGGUACUCCGGGGAUAACAGGCUGAUACCGCCCAAGAGUUCAUAUCGACGGCGGUGUUUGGCACCUCGAUGUCGGCUCAUCACAUCCUGGGGCUGAAGUAGGUCCCAAGGGUAUGGCUGUUCGCCAUUUAAAGUGGUACGCGAGCUGGGUUUAGAACGUCGUGAGACAGUUCGGUCCCUAUCUGCCGUGGGCGCUGGAGAACUGAGGGGGGCUGCUCCUAGUACGAGAGGACCGGAGUGGACGCAUCACUGGUGUUCGGGUUGUCAUGCCAAUGGCACUGCCCGGUAGCUAAAUGCGGAAGAGAUAAGUGCUGAAAGCAUCUAAGCACGAAACUUGCCCCGAGAUGAGUUCUCCCUGAC
RNAcentral lists this ribosomal RNA (1582 nucleotides) under Escherichia coli. RNAcentral's name for it is "partial 23S ribosomal RNA". It matches the Rfam family "Bacterial large subunit ribosomal RNA", at positions 1252 to 2819 of the family's 2925-position model. The record is from RNAcentral. Lineage: Bacteria; Pseudomonadati; Pseudomonadota; Gammaproteobacteria; Enterobacterales; Enterobacteriaceae.